AUACGGAGGAUGCGAGCGUUAUCCGGAUUUAUUGGGUUUAAAGGGAGCGUAGGUGGGAUAUUAAGUCAGCUGUGAAAGUUUGGGGCUCAACCUUAAAAUUGCAGUUGAUACUGGUUUCCUUGAGUACGGUACAGGUGGGCGGAAUUCGUGGUGUAGCGGUGAAAUGCUUAGAUAUCACGAAGAACUCCGAUCGCGAAGGCAGCUCACCGGGCCGGAACUGACACUGAUGCUCGAAAGUGCGGGUAUCAAACAGGAUUAGAUACCCUGGUAGUCCGCACAGUAAACGAUGAAUACUCGCUGUUUGCGAUACACUGUAAGCGGCCAAGCGAAAGCGUUAAGUGUUCCACCUGGGGAGUACGCCGGCAACGGUGAAACUCAAAUGAAUUGACGGGG
RNAcentral lists this ribosomal RNA (393 nucleotides) under uncultured bacterium. Its description in RNAcentral is "partial 16S ribosomal RNA". It matches the Rfam family "Bacterial small subunit ribosomal RNA", at positions 523 to 918 of the family's 1533-position model. The record is from RNAcentral.